Molecule: non-coding RNA, 98 nt
Organism: Triticum aestivum (bread wheat)
Lineage: Eukaryota; Viridiplantae; Streptophyta; Magnoliopsida; Poales; Poaceae
Source: Rfam
UCAUUCAGAUUCGCCAUCAUACGCUCAACCGUGCAUUUGAUAUGCAUAUAUAUGCAUCACGAGCCACGGUAUGACUGUAUGAUGGCGAUACCGAUUGG